This 20-nucleotide microRNA is filed under the name Caenorhabditis elegans. Its description in RNAcentral is "cel-miR-8190-3p". Lineage: Eukaryota; Metazoa; Nematoda; Chromadorea; Rhabditida; Rhabditidae. The record is from miRBase by way of RNAcentral.
AUUCCUACCGAUUUUCAGCG